RNAcentral lists this ribosomal RNA (612 nucleotides) under uncultured bacterium. RNAcentral's name for it is "bacterial SSU rRNA". It matches the Rfam family "Bacterial small subunit ribosomal RNA", at positions 130 to 758 of the family's 1533-position model. The record is from RNAcentral.
CUUGAAGAGGGGGACAACAGUUGGAAACGACUGCUAAUACCGCAUAACGCAUAGGGGUCGCAUGAUCUUUAUGCCAAAGAUUUAUUGCUUCAAGAUGGCCUCGCGUCUGAUUAGCUAGUUGGCGGGGUAACGGCCCACCAAGGCGACGAUCAGUAGCCGGACUGAGAGGUUGAACGGCCACAUUGGGACUGAGAUACGGCCCAGACUCCUACGGGAGGCAGCAGUGGGGAAUAUUGGGCAAUGGGCGCAAGCCUGACCCAGCAACGCCGCGUGAAGGAAGAAGGCUUUCGGGUUGUAAACUUCUUUUAAGAGGGAAGAGUAGAAGACGGUACCUCUAGAAUAAGCCACGGCUAACUACGUGCCAGCAGCCGCGGUAAUACGUAGGUGGCAAGCGUUGUCCGGAUUUACUGGGUGUAAAGGGCGUGCAGCCGGGUCUGCAAGUCAGAUGUGAAAUCCAUGGGCUCAACCCAUGAACUGCAUUUGAAACUGUAGAUCUUGAGUGUCGGAGGGGCAAUCGGAAUUCCUAGUGUAGCGGUGAAAUGCGUAGAUAUUAGGAGGAACACCAGUGGCGAAGGCGGAUUGCUGGACGAUAACUGACGGUGAGGCGCGAAA